This 440-nucleotide ribosomal RNA is filed under the name uncultured bacterium. RNAcentral describes it as "partial 16S ribosomal RNA". It matches the Rfam family "Bacterial small subunit ribosomal RNA", at positions 338 to 795 of the family's 1533-position model. The record is from RNAcentral.
CCUACGGGUGGCAGCAGUGGUGGAUAUUGCACAAUGGGGGGAACCCUGAUGCAGCGACGCCGCGUGUGGGAAGACGGUCCUCUGAAUUUUACACCACUGUCACCAGGGACGAAAAUGACGGUACCUGGGGAGGAAGCUCCGGCUAACUACGUGCCAGCAGCCGCGGUAAUACGUAGGGAGCGAGCGUUUUCCGGAAUUACUGGGUGUAAAGGGAGCGUAGGCGGGGAUGCAAGUUGGGUGUCAAAACUACCGGCUCAACUGGUAGUCGCACUCAAAACUGCAGCUCUUGAGUGAAGUAGAGGCAGGCGGAAUUCCUAGUGUAGCGGUGAAAUGCGUAGAUAUUAGGAGGAACACCAGUGGCGAAGGCGGCCUGCUGGGCUUUUACUGACGCUGAGGCUCGAAAGUGUGGGGAGCAAACAGGAUUAGAUACCCGUGUAGUC